CGGAGCCCUGGUGCUGGCUUGGGCCAGUUGCAGCAGCAAAGGCAUGCCGUGAGCGCUUGCUUGAGGCGCCAACUGAACGGGGCUCACUCUCC
Molecule: non-coding RNA, 92 nt
Filed under: Pelagodinium bei
Lineage: Eukaryota; Dinophyceae; Suessiales; Suessiaceae
Source: RNAcentral